AGGUUUGACAUCUACAGGAAGGUGCCCAAGGACCUUACGCAGCCAACGUAUACCGGAGCCAUUAUCUCUAUCUGCUGCUGCCUCUUCAUCCUCUUCCUCUUCCUCUCGGAGCUCACCGGAUUCAUAACGACAGAAGUUGUGAACGAGCUCUAUGUCGAUGACCCGGACAAGGACAGCGGGGGCAAAAUCGAUGUCAGUCUGAACAUCAGUUUACCCAAUUUGCACU
Molecule: long non-coding RNA, 226 nt
Organism: Galeopterus variegatus (Sunda flying lemur)
Lineage: Eukaryota; Metazoa; Chordata; Mammalia; Dermoptera; Cynocephalidae
Exons: 3
Source: RefSeq, a predicted model, not a curated record